UACGUAGGGGUCGAGCGUUGUCCGGACUUACUGGGCGUAAAGCGCACGUAGGCGGACUAUUAAGUCAGGGGUGAAAUCCCGGGGCUCAACCCCGGAACUGCCUUUGAUACUGGUAGUCUCGAGUCCGGAAGAGGUGAGUGGAAUUCCGAGUGUAGAGGUGAAAUUCGUAGAUAUUCGGAGGAACACCAGUGGCGAAGGCGGCUCACUGGUCCGGUACUGACGCUGAGGUGCGAAAGCGUGGGGAGCAAACAGG
Molecule: ribosomal RNA, 253 nt
Filed under: uncultured bacterium
Lineage: Bacteria
Description: partial 16S ribosomal RNA
Rfam family: Bacterial small subunit ribosomal RNA
Source: RNAcentral